RNAcentral lists this unclassified non-coding RNA (329 nucleotides) under soil metagenome. Its description in RNAcentral is "partial contains 5.8S ribosomal RNA, internal transcribed spacer 2, and large subunit ribosomal RNA". The stretch from base 1 to 120 matches the Rfam family "5.8S ribosomal RNA", at positions 35 to 154 of the family's 154-position model. The record is from RNAcentral.
GAUGAAGAACGUAGCGAAAUGCGAUAAGUAGUGUGAAUUGCAGAAUUCAGUGAAUCAUCGAAUCUUUGAACGCACAUUGCGCCCCUUGGUAUCCCGAGGGGCAUGCCUGUUCGAGCGUCAUUUCACCACUCAAGCCUGGCUUGGUGUUGGGCGACGUCCCCUUUGGGGACGCGCCUCGAAACGCUCGGCGGCGUGGCACCGGCUUUAAGCGUAGCAGAAUCUUUCGCUUUGGAAGUCGGGGCCCCGUCUGCCGGAAGACCUACUCGCAAGGUUGACCUCGGAUCAGGUAGGAAUACCCGCUGAACUUAAGCAUAUCAAUAAGCGGAGGA